RNAcentral lists this ribosomal RNA (252 nucleotides) under uncultured bacterium. RNAcentral's name for it is "partial 16S ribosomal RNA". It matches the Rfam family "Bacterial small subunit ribosomal RNA", at positions 116 to 354 of the family's 1533-position model. The record is from RNAcentral.
CGUGGAGAACCUGCCGUAUACUGGGGGAUAACACUUAGAAAUAGGUGCUAAUACCGCAUAAGCGCACAGCUUCGCAUGAAGCAGUGUGGAAAACAAAAAGCUAAAGCUUUUGGUGGUAUACGAUGGAUCCGCGUCUGAUUAGCUAGUUGGCGGGGUAAAGGCCCACCAAGGCGACGAUCAGUAGCCGGCCUGAGAGGGUGAACGGCCACAUUGGGACUGAGACACGGCCCAAACUCCUACGGAAGGCAGCAG